AAAACUUCAACAUCAUGAUAAUGUAUCAGGUAUAUUUAUAUAUGGUCAUUAAUUGAUAAUGGCUGAAAAUUUUAUUUGUUGUUGUAGUUUAGCUGCUCUAACCUCUAAUUAAUUAAGUAAUUUUAUCUUGAGUCUUCUCUUAUUAUUACGUUUCGUAAUCCAUGUACUACUUCUCAUAUGCCCUACUCUAUUUUUAAGGGGCAUGAACAAUGAAAUUAAUUUAUUUUUAUCGGACAAAUAAGAAUCAAAAUUUGGUUGUCUUUUCAAACCGUCGUUUUUAAAAAAAU
This 287-nucleotide small RNA is filed under the name Arabidopsis thaliana (thale cress). RNAcentral's name for it is "ATSL032020". The record is from RNAcentral. Lineage: Eukaryota; Viridiplantae; Streptophyta; Magnoliopsida; Brassicales; Brassicaceae.